ACUAAACUCCUGACGCUUCCGGAUAUGCUCCGCAGGGCCGUCGCCCUGUCUAAGCAGUAUACGCGAUUGGAGUACCGUAAUGGUGAGAAUUUCGCGAACCUGUGAUGGGGUAACAGAGCAAAUUCCAGGAGCCCGUGAAAAGGGUGAUGCAGUCCGUACCGAGAACUGACACAGGUGCCCCUCGCUGAGAAGGCGAAGGCGUGUCGGGAGUAAUUGUGCUAAGGGAACUCGGCAAAUUAGCCCUGUAACUUCGGGAUAAGGGGUGCCUGCCCAGAGAUUGGGCAGGUCGCAGUGACAAGGACGCUCCGACUGUCUAAUAACAACAUAGCAGACUGCAACUCCGAAAGGACUAGUAUAGUCUGUGAUUCCUGCCCAGUGCGAGUAUCUGAACACCGGGUUCAACCGGACGAAGGACUCGUAAACGGCGGGGGUAACUAUGACCCUCUUAAGGUAGCGUAGUACCUUGUCGCUUAAUUGGCGACUUGCAUGAAUGGAAUAACGAGAGCGUUACUGUCCCUAGCACAAACCCGUUGAACCUUUUGUCCUAGUGCAGAGACUAGGGACUCCUUAUGGGAAGUGAAGACCCCGUGGAGCUUUACUGCAGCCUGUCGUUGGGUUACGGUAUUACCUGCGCAGUGUAGAUGGGAGGCGUCGAGCCGGUCCUUGUGGGGAUCGGGGAGCCAACGAUGAGACACCAUCCUGGUUUUAUUGUAAUUCUAACUGGUUUUCCAGGACAUCGAUAGGUGGGCAGUUUGGGUGGGGCGCCACACCCUCGAAAAAAUAUCAAGGGUGCCCUAAGGUCAACUCAAGCGGGUCAGAAACCCGCUGAAGAGUGUCAAGAGCAUAAGUUGGCCUGACGUGAUUUCGCAUAGCAAGAAAUCACGAGAGGAAACUCGGGUCUAACGAACCAAUACGCCCUUUUGGUGAGGGCUAUUGACUACAGAAAAGCUACCCCGGGGAUAACAGAGUCGUCGCCGGCAAGAGCACAUAUCGACCCGGCGGCUUGCUACCUCGAUGUCGGUUCUUUCCAUCCUGGCUGUGCAGCAGCAGCCAAGGGUGAGGUUGUUCGCCUAUUAAAGGGGAUCGUGAGCUGGGCUUAGACCGUCGUGAGACAGGUCGGUUACUAUCUAUAAGGAGUGUCGGGAGUCUGAAGGUAAGAAUGAAAUAGUACGAGAGGAACUUUCAAUCGGCGCCACUGGUCGACCGGUUGUUCGACAGAGCAUUGCCGGGCAGCUACGCGCUAACUGAUAAAAGCUGAAAGCAUCUAAGCUUGAAACAUCGCCUGAACAAGAGACUCCAUUAAAGACCCGGAUAGAAGAUCCGGUCGAUAGGAUUGGGAUGUAAGCACGAAGGCAACGACGUGUUCAGUCCGCGAUUACCAAUAGUCC
This 1388-nucleotide ribosomal RNA is filed under the name metagenome. RNAcentral's name for it is "bacterial LSU rRNA". It matches the Rfam family "Archaeal large subunit ribosomal RNA", at positions 1560 to 2973 of the family's 2987-position model. The record is from RNAcentral.